GCUGCAAUGGCCGAGUGGUUAAGGCGUUUGACUCGAAAUCAAAUGGGAUUCCCGCGUAGGUUCGAAUCCUACUUGCAGCG
Molecule: transfer RNA, 80 nt
Filed under: Clytia hemisphaerica
Lineage: Eukaryota; Metazoa; Cnidaria; Hydrozoa; Leptothecata; Clytiidae
Description: tRNA-Ser for anticodon CGA
Rfam family: tRNA
About the family: Transfer RNA (tRNA) molecules are approximately 80 nucleotides in length. Their secondary structure includes four short double-helical elements and three loops (D, anti-codon, and T loops).
Source: Rfam by way of RNAcentral